This 50-nucleotide transfer RNA is filed under the name Veronica missurica. RNAcentral's name for it is "partial tRNA-Leu". The record is from RNAcentral. Lineage: Eukaryota; Viridiplantae; Streptophyta; Magnoliopsida; Lamiales; Plantaginaceae.
AAAAUCCGUCGAAUUUCAAAAUCGUGAGGGUUCAAGUCCCUCUAUCCCCA